RNAcentral lists this ribosomal RNA (253 nucleotides) under uncultured bacterium. RNAcentral describes it as "partial 16S ribosomal RNA". It matches the Rfam family "Bacterial small subunit ribosomal RNA", at positions 524 to 776 of the family's 1533-position model. The record is from RNAcentral.
UACGUAGGGUGCAAGCGUUAAUCGGAAUUACUGGGCGUAAAGCGUGCGCAGGCGGUUAUGUAAGACAGUUGUGAAAUCCCCGGGCUCAACCCGGGAACUGCGUCCGAUACUGGAAGGCUUGAAUCCGGGAGAGGGAUGUGGAAUUCCAGGUGUAGCGGUGAAAUGCGUAGAUAUCUGGAGGAACACCGGUGGCGAAGGCGACAUCCUGGACCGGUAUUGACGCUGAGGCGCGAAAGCCAGGGGAGCAAACGGG